Long non-coding RNA from Magnolia sinica, 748 nucleotides. RefSeq lists it as uncharacterized. NCBI's taxonomy places the organism in Eukaryota, Viridiplantae, Streptophyta, Magnoliopsida, Magnoliales, Magnoliaceae. The record is from RefSeq and is a predicted model, not a curated record. The transcript is spliced from 3 exons.
CCUCUUUCGAACGGGGCGAUCUUCCUUGCCAGAGCUCUUCCCUCUUACGAAGGGCGCAAUCUUCCUCGCCAGAGCUCUGAAUCCUUGAAGAAUUUCCUCGUUCCGUGCAGAUUCAUCUCAAAUAUUAUAAGCCUCAUGCUGCGUGGAUCAGCUUGAAUGCACGGGUUGAUGAAAGCAUAGAUCAGAGGAUCGGGCUUGGCCCCAGCAACGCCGGAUUUCAGCUCCAACUCAAGGUUCCCUGAAUGGAUGUUGAUUUCCUGGUUACAGCAGAUAGAGCUCACCAAGAACGUCUCAACUAUUUGAGCAGUGACCCACAAAUGGAUGGUGUGGAAGAAUAUUGCUGCAUGUUGGUGGCAAUCGGCCUUGAACAGGAAUAGCCUUCAACCGUUUGACCAAAGAUCACCCCAAUUGGACAGUCCUAGCCGCUUGAUUUGAUUAAAAAAGGCAAGUCCUUGAGCCCUGUUCUGAUUGAGCAUUUUGGGUCUAAUGUUUUUCUGGGUUUUGAUUGAUAUUGGGUCUUCAUCAAUACCUGCUUUGGCUUUUAUUUUGAUUCCCUCAAUCAUCUGUCACACUGACAGAGUAUCAAUUCUCUACUUGCCACUACAUUUCCUGAUUUCAGUUAAUCAACUUACCAAUUCCUUCAUCGCGAUAAACUGCUCAUCAAUCAAAUGACAGCUCCAUCCCUAAGAAUAAAUUUCCAGUUAAUAGAACAGAAAAUAUCAACACAUACAGGAAGAACUCAAACCAG